This is a ribosomal RNA of Lepisosteus oculatus (spotted gar), 119 nucleotides long. Lineage: Eukaryota; Metazoa; Chordata; Actinopteri; Semionotiformes; Lepisosteidae. The record is from Ensembl.
GUCAGCAGCCAUAUCACCCUGCAACUCACAACUGGCAACCCACUGAAGCUCAGCAGGUGUGAGCCUGGUCAGUACCUGGAUGGGAGACCUCUUAGGAAAAACUAAGGUUGCUGCUGGAA